Molecule: ribosomal RNA, 235 nt
Filed under: uncultured Glomus
Lineage: Eukaryota; Fungi; Glomeromycota; Glomeromycetes; Glomerales; Glomeraceae
Description: partial 18S ribosomal RNA
Rfam family: Eukaryotic small subunit ribosomal RNA
Source: RNAcentral
AGCAGCCGCGGUAAUUCCAGCUCCAAUAGCGUAUAUUAAAGUUGUUGCAGUUAAAAAGCUCGUAGUUGAAUUUCGGGAUCAGUACGCUAGUCGUGCCUUCGGUACGUACUGGUGCUGCUGAUUCCUACCUUCUGACGAACCGUUAUGUCAUUAAUUUGGUGUGGCAGGAAAUCAGGAUUGUUACUUUGAAAAAAUUAGAGUGUUUAAAGCAGGCUCGCGCUUGAAUACAUUAGCA